AAAUAUUCUUACAAUAAGAAAACAAGCGUUUAAGAUGGCGGAUUCCGCAAUUGCUGAAACAUCUUCAUCAUAUUCUGAAGCUGUAGCUGGAGUUUGUCAUAUUUUCUGCUUGCCUCUGCUUGCCUUGCUGCUGCCUCCGCUUUAAGUUAUUGCUGGAGUUCUUCAUAUUUCUUUGAUCUUCUGCUUCUCUCGAUGUUGUCUUUACUUUAAGUUAAGCAAUUUGUUCAACUGUGCUCGCUUGCAUCUGAGCCAUCUGGUCUUUUAACCUCUGAACUUCAGCUUGAGCCUAAGUCCCCAAAGGCAUGUAUCACUGCGAGUUGGAUCUAAA
Molecule: long non-coding RNA, 328 nt
Filed under: Gossypium barbadense (sea-island cotton)
Lineage: Eukaryota; Viridiplantae; Streptophyta; Magnoliopsida; Malvales; Malvaceae
Description: long non-coding RNA (GBAR_LNC021818)
Source: RNAcentral